Molecule: long non-coding RNA, 600 nt
Filed under: Olea europaea (common olive)
Lineage: Eukaryota; Viridiplantae; Streptophyta; Magnoliopsida; Lamiales; Oleaceae
Description: long non-coding RNA (OEUR_LNC010230)
Source: RNAcentral
AAUUUUCGAGUGGAAAGAUGUGGUAAAAUUAAUCGAGAAAGAAUUUGUGUGCUUUUCGAUGAUGUAAGAUUGUAAGUGAUCCUUAUUAUCAAGUUUGACAUACUAUAUUAUGUGCAUACAAAAGAAAAUAAACAGCCUCAAUUGAUAAAUAUAAAUGAAAUUUAUUUCCUCACAAUAUUAUGUGCAUACAAAAGAAUACAAUAAAUCCAACCCGAAAAUAAAUAUAUAAUAAUAACAACAAUCCAUAAAACUCACGUGAUCAUAUCAUAACAAAUCCAUACCCGAAAACCCAAAAUCAAAAGAAGAACAGAAAAUACAGAAGGAAAUAAAAGAACUCAGUGCCUCAAAAGAGCGAAAAGGGAGAACAAAAUAGAUGUUCCAAUGACGGCGCUGGAGACUGGUAAAGAGAAUGCAUCUCCGACAUCAGGAGACGGGGCCGGUGCCUGAGCAGAGACAGUAACAGCCACGGCGGAUAGAGCGACGAUGGCGUAGGCCAGCAGGAAAGACAUUUGUGCCAUUGUAUUGAUUGAAUUUGUAAGCAAAACUAGAAACAGAAAUUGUAUGGAGAAAUAGACAGACAGAGAAUAAGUAAUUUGUGGU